UCGCUAGCCCUCCACCAAUCGCCACGCCCCCAAUCGCUCCCCAAUCCCCACUCCUCUGCCCGUCUCCUCCCCUUCCUCUCCCCUCGCGCCCGCAUCCCCGCCGCCGCACGCCUCUCUCCCUCUCCUCCUCUCCAUCGCCGGAGACGCGGAUGCCCUUGCGCGCGCCAACUGCGUCGCCGUCCCCUCCAUCAUCCCCUAGAGCGGGCGCACCAGGAUGGGCAAGAAGCCCUCGGCACGACUCCAUCGCCCUCGGCGCCGGAGACGCGGAUGCGGAAGAGCGGCGGCUGGCCGGCCCUGGGGCAGCACGCGAUUACUACAGGCUGCCCCAGCCGUGGGCAGCGGUAGGCCGCACAAGCAGCAGGCGACCUCCUCCACUUCAAGCUCGCAUCUGGAUUUGCAGCCGAUGAUGCGAAGGGGAGCGACCUAGGCAUGCCCGACCCGGACCAUGACGAUGCACAACAAAAGCUAGCUGCAGAUGCGGAAGAGCGGCGGCUGGCCGGCCCUGGGGCAGCACGCGAUUACUACAGGCUGCCCCAGCCGUGGGCAGCGGUAGGCCGCACAAGCAGCAGGCGACCUCCUCCACUUCAAGCUCGCAUCUGGAUUUGCAGCCGAUGAUGCGAAGGGGAGCGACCUAGGCAUGCCCGACCCGGACCAUGACGAUGCACAACAAAAGUCUCAGGCCCGCCUUGGAGAUGGUGCCAGGAUUGCCUGCCGUUCACGCUCUCCCUCUUAGCCACUACCGAUCGUCUAGCAAGGUCUCGACGAAUUACAUGAUAUAAGCUGCAAGAUGUGAUUUUGGAUGUUGUUCCCUGACCACUUCUUGGACCGUGCUCUACAUGUCGAGCACCCAACAAGAGGGAGAGGAGGAGCGCAUCCAUGCUCGAACUCGGAGAUUGGAAAGCAGGAAGACGGUAAAUAUGAGCUUGUGUGCACUGGAUUUGCAGCUCUACAUGCUCUCAUGUAGACUCCGUGUGUUUAUACAAUAUGGGACACUCGUGGCGGAAUGUGGCAAGCUUGUGCAAACCUCAUGCUGGUAGAAAGGAAGCUAUACUUUGACAUGACUAACUGUAAUAUUGCUUCUGGUCUUCCAGACAAUUUAAAUUCUGGAACUACAAAGAUGAUGUUCAAGAAAUACAGGAGUACAAAGCAAGAAGAUGUGCUCAGCUUCUCUCUGGCUUAUUAUGCUUACAUGUCUUUCUGAUUGUCCUGAGCUCCUGUCAUCGAAGGUAAGCUGAUUGAUUGUUGAUCACAUGGUUCGUUGAAAUGCUUAUGUGUCUCUAGGUGAAGCUGCAACAAUAUUUGUCGUGGUUUCUUUUUCAAGUGCCGAGUUCAGCAAGUGGUGCGCAUUUAUGCCGGAUCCACUGCUACUGCUACUUCAGUACUGUAGAAACUGCUUCUGGGUUUUUGAUGAUGUGACAUAGUACAUGUGUUAAGCUUAUUAAUUUUAUGGUCUGUUUUGUUUGCAUAAUUCCAGCUUUGCUACUGUCGCCUCAAACUUACUUUUAUCGUAGUGUCACCUGAAACUUACUUUUGUCAUACUACAUGUCCUAGCUAUUUGCUUGCGCAGCUUGUGACCUUUAUUCUUUUGUGCUUACGAUAUCUGUUGAUUAUGAUGGCCAUUUGGCCUGCUUUGUUACCCGUUGGCAUCUAGGCACAAUUCACACACAAUCAGCUGGUCAGGCUAAAUAUGUGUUCUGCUGACCAGCUGCAAUGCAAAUAAUAUUUUACUGAGCUGAAGUGAAAUGGCCCUAAUGUCAUGUUAGGUAAUAUAAAUUGGAAUUGAAGAUCAAUUCCAGUAAAGGGUGCUUGAAUGACAAAGGGCUUGAAUGACAAAGGAGUUGCACAUCAGAAUUAGCAGUAGUAAAGUCAAUCAUCACUAUGUUGUAUAAUGUAAAACGUUUUCUAAUAUUAUGAAACUGAGGGAGUACAUAUUAGCCUUCCGGUGCUUCUUCCAUCGUGCCCUCUAUAUGGUGACGAACCUAUUAAGAACAUGUGGUAUAUCAUUGUGGAUAUAAUUCAUCUGUAAAUACGAAUGCCUAAAUUAGUGUGCCUGUUUUAUGGACUAUUGAUGUUAUUUCGCUCCAACAUUUCUGUUAAGUUAGAUAUCCACCUAUCUUUCUUAUGUAUGUUUGAUUUUUUUUAACAUAUUCGCUAGAUUAUGAAACGUUUUGCACAAAGAUUUACAUGCCUCCAAAGUCAAAGCUGGUGGCCAUCGUCAGAUUCUAUCCAUUAAUUUAGUGUCUUCGAUUUGCUUAUGGCAGCCUUUACUUUCUAGCCAUCACCUGGUGGUUGGAGGCUACAAAUAAUGAUGCCGCACCGUGGUGCGGAUGGUUCGAGUUCUCUCCUGGCAGCCUUUCCAUGUAUUAUCUAUGUCUGCUUAUUCAACUGCCUACCAUCAAGUUGUAGUAAUUGUAUGUUUAAGUUUUACAAGUCUGCGAAAGGCGGGUCGCGUGGCAAGCAGCGUCCCUACUGAUAGUAUAUUUCAGAUAGUGUUUCUGAAUUAUUUAUCAGUACGAAAGUUAGGAACCUACUUAUUUGAUUGCUUAGGGGAAUGUAAACUGCUUGCCAUCAGGUCGGGAACACCAAACUCCAACCUUAUGGAAGAGACAAAUCAUAUGAUUUGUCGAUCCCCUGUAGAAGAGGACCCUGAAUGCGGAGAAGUUUUCAUUUUUCCCUUUUGUUUGGGUCAACCAUAUGGUUGGAGUGAGAUUCCUUUCUAUUUAUGCCUACAUGAUCUUUGAUGAAAAUACGAGUGGGCAACAGAGAAAUAUUGAGGUUGUUUCUCAUGCUGUUCAGUAUGCAAUAGUUUAUUCAGAACUACCAAUGUGCCUCCAGGUCUCCCAAUUGAAAAAAGGCAUGAUUGCAGAUACGAGUACGGUGUAUAGAUAUACAAAUGACUGAAUUACCAUGCCAUCUAUUUUUGGGAGCUCAUUUGUGUCUCAAUGAAGCAAACGGAUGAAGUUUCUGGUUCACAUACAUCCUGCUCUCUUGAUCAGCAGAAAAAAAUGAUGAUUGCAAAUUUUGAAGGCUUAUAUAUUGGUUGUUCAUGUGUACUGCCACCUCUCAUAUGUUGCAGUGGUGUUUCAGCAGAAUGGGAAGGUACCACUCGAGCACGUUCACUCGCAGAUUGUUGCAGUGGGGUUUCAGUACAAAAUCCAAUACAAGCGAGAUAGCUAACUGCACCAAUCAGUUAUGCGAAUUGCCUGCAAUAAAGCCGAGUUGUUGUCACUUCAAGCUGCAAAGUGAAAUAUCACUCUCACUCAGUUACUUAGACAAAUUGAUUACUGACACUGUUUAGACUGAAUAAUGGUCCCUGAGAGCAAGCUGAUAUCAUCCUAUAAUGAUAGCAGCAGGAGGGGAUGAUGUUGGUGGCUGAGGGUGCCAAUGUGCCAUAAACAUUGGGAGGAAUGAGACGUUCUGCUCUUUUUCUUUCGGAGGAAUGAGGUGUUCUGCUCAUUUUAUUUGUACAAUGGUUUCAAGGUUCUUACUUCAGCGAAGCAGUCCCCUAACAUAUGGAUAGGUUGACAACAUUAUCGCAACAAGCAAGAUGCAGGUAUGUCUAGGCUCCUUAUUGCUGGGUAUCAUCCCAAUUAUUGAUGCCGUGUGUUCUGCUCUUGGUUGUGCAGGCCAAGCAGUUAAUGCAUUUCUUCUAUAUAUAGGGCACUAAGCAGUCAUAUCUAAAUUCAGCUCAACGAGAAAUAGUGAUUUUUUUUAUAGUAGCUGCCAUUUCUUUGCUGAAGAAAUUGUUGCCGACAGCAAUGAUAUAGAUUUGAUUUUUCAGCGAUGCAGUUGAUGUAUCGUCUCCAGUAGUCCUGUUUCCACAAUGAUAACGGUAUUUCUGUUUGGUGGUGCAAGUACUUGUUAUGGCCAUGUCUCCUUUAUGCUGGUGCGGACCAUGUCGCGGCAAUGUCCAUGAGCUGCUUAUGUAGAUGUUGCUUUUGAUGUCACUACCUUUUAUUGCUCUUCAUAGAACAUCCUUCUAUUUUCUUUUUAUAUCAGCUUUGCUGCUACGUUUGUAGUAUCGGAGUUUCGACUGUAAAGCCUAAGAAAUGUAUUAUCCUAUUGGUAGUUAAUUUUAUUGUUCUCAUAUAUAA
Lolium perenne is the source of this 4094-nucleotide non-coding RNA. The record is from RefSeq and is a predicted model, not a curated record. NCBI's taxonomy places the organism in Eukaryota, Viridiplantae, Streptophyta, Magnoliopsida, Poales, Poaceae.